Small nucleolar RNA from Oryctolagus cuniculus (rabbit), 131 nucleotides. NCBI's taxonomy places the organism in Eukaryota, Metazoa, Chordata, Mammalia, Lagomorpha, Leporidae. The record is from Ensembl.
GCAUGGGUUUGGAUUUAUGGCGGGCCGUUGCCCUGGGCCUCUCACGGUCACAUGCCAGAGCAAAUUGUGGUCCCAAAUCAUCUCCUGGCCUCUGUGCAAAGGUUGUUGGCACUAAGGUGGGUUGCACAGCA